RNAcentral lists this ribosomal RNA (603 nucleotides) under Colletotrichum gloeosporioides. RNAcentral describes it as "eukaryotic LSU rRNA". The stretch from base 232 to 385 matches the Rfam family "5.8S ribosomal RNA". Lineage: Eukaryota; Fungi; Ascomycota; Sordariomycetes; Glomerellales; Glomerellaceae. The record is from RNAcentral.
UAGAGGAAGUAAAAGUCGUAACAAGGUCUCCGUUGGUGAACCAGCGGAGGGAUCAUUACUGAGUUUACGCUCUAUAACCCUUUGUGAACAUACCUAUAACUGUUGCUUCGGCGGGUAGGGUCUCCGCGACCCUCCCGGCCUCCCGCCUCCGGGCGGGUCGGCGCCCGCCGGAGGAUAAACCAAACUCUGAUUUAACGACGUUUCUUCUGAGUGGUACAAGCAAAUAAUCAAAACUUUUAACAACGGAUCUCUUGGUUCUGGCAUCGAUGAAGAACGCAGCGAAAUGCGAUAAGUAAUGUGAAUUGCAGAAUUCAGUGAAUCAUCGAAUCUUUGAACGCACAUUGCGCCCGCCAGCAUUCUGGCGGGCAUGCCUGUUCGAGCGUCAUUUCAACCCUCAAGCUCUGCUUGGUGUUGGGGCCCUACAGUUGAUGUAGGCCCUCAAAGGUAGUGGCGGACCCUCCCGGAGCCUCCUUUGCGUAGUAACUUUACGUCUCGCACUGGGAUCCGGAGGGACUCUUGCCGUAAAACCCCCCAAUUUUCCAAAGGUUGACCUCGGAUCAGGUAGGAAUACCCGCUGAACUUAAGCAUAUCAAUAAGCGGAGG